AUGGUGGCGCUCUUCGGCGGGCACACUCUGGGCGUGGCGCGCUGCCCGUUGUUCACGCCCCCCCUCAAGUUCAGGGCGGCCACGCUGGACGCCGGAUUCGCGUCGUCUCUGGCGGCCACAUGCAGCAAGGGCGGGGACUCGGCGAUGGCGACGUUCGACCGGACGAGCACGGCGUUCGACGACGUCUACUUCAAGGAGUUUCAGCAGCGGAGGGGCUUGCUGAGCUCGGACCAGACGCUGUUCGAGUCGCCAGAGACGCAACGGCUUGUGAACAUGUUCGUCAUGAACCAGGGCUACUUCUUCUACGUGUUCCAGCAGGGGAUGGGCAAGAUGGGUGCGGGCAAGAGCUUGAGCUCCGUGCAAGGAUAG
Molecule: ribosomal RNA, 369 nt
Filed under: Triticum aestivum (bread wheat)
Lineage: Eukaryota; Viridiplantae; Streptophyta; Magnoliopsida; Poales; Poaceae
Description: partial small subunit ribosomal RNA
Source: RNAcentral